Bubalus bubalis (water buffalo) is the source of this 2817-nucleotide long non-coding RNA. RefSeq lists it as uncharacterized. The record is from RefSeq and is a predicted model, not a curated record. The transcript is spliced from 2 exons. NCBI's taxonomy places the organism in Eukaryota, Metazoa, Chordata, Mammalia, Artiodactyla, Bovidae.
UAGAAAUCAAGCGUGCAUGCGUGGGUGCGUAGUCGUGUCUGACCCUUUGCUACCCAGUGGCCUGUAGCCCACCAGGCUCCUCUGUCCGUGGGAUUUCCCAGGCAGGAAUCCUGGAGUGGGUUGCCAUUUGCUCCUCCAGGGGACCUUCCCCACCCGAAGGAAACCGCAUCUCUUGUGUCUGCUGCAUUGGCAUAUGGAUUCUUCACCAUUGGCACCUCCUGAGAAGUUCCAAAAUGGUGAAGUGGAGUUUUAGAGAAUGGUGUGAAGGAAGACGUUUGUCUGGCACUUGUCUUUGCCCCAGUACUUUUCCCUCUAUGGUAGAGCAGUGCCUCACAGCCCUGAGAACAAAGUCACGUGCCAAGGAUGAAAGAGAAGGAAAGAGAUGCAGCCACCAUGUAAGCCCUGGACUGUCCUGCAUAUUACCUAGUCUUCCAGGAUUCCCCAAGCUGACAUCAAAACCACCCAUCUCUCGAUUCUUUUGGCGCUUUCUGUUUAUAUCUUUGGAGACUGGGAUCAUCGGCCUAAGGCAGACUCCAUCUGGGCCACGUGUAGAAUGAAUACAGUAUGAGUUUUGUGUGUGUGUGUUCUUUUGUUUGACUUGUGGUUUUUGAAAGUUUUGAAUUUGUUUUGAACAUUUCCAAAAUUGGCAAAUUUCCUGUAUACAUCCACUGUUCCAGUUUCUCUUGCAAAAUCGGAAAGAUCUGGCAAUGCCCCAUCCACGCUUCCAUGUGGCCGGAGCCGAGUGGUGGCUGCUUUCUAUAGAAGGAGCCUGUGCCCUGUGGUUUUCCAGUGUCUCUACAACCCCCUGUGUUACCUCUCUGGUCCUGGAGACCUUGGAUACACCACCCAGGCCUAAGGAAGAACCAGGCCUAUGGAACUCUGUACAAACCACUUAACAUGGUAAGCAGGCGGAGGUCAUUGCAGAGACUCUCCCAACCAGUGCUGAAUCAAAGAAUGAGCUUAUGGGUGUGGUCAAAGCCAAGAAGAUAGAGCGCAGCUCCGCAGGCUUUAGAGGACCAGGGACGUCGCCAUGGAAGUUGCAGUUGGCUUUGGGACGGUCUGACUGACAGUGGACAGGGAUUCCCCAGGAUGGCAGUGCUGUGCAACGACUGGUAUCGUCUGGGAAGGGACCCCCAUGACGUGACUGUGGCAGUCUAUGCAGUGGCAGUUUCCUUGCACAAAAGUACCAGAACCACAGGAAAGCAGGGAUCCCGUGGGAGUUCCACCUUUCUUCAAGGGCUCCGGGUGCUCAUCAAUGCCACUGCUGUUGAACAAGGCAGGGGCAGGGGCUCUGGCUUCGGAAACCUUCACAGUGGCCUCAAUUUGACCAGCCACUCCUAUCCUCUCUUGUAUUGAUUUGCAAUAUCUACUUUAUCUCUUCAGUUAGACAGUUACUUUCUGUGGACUGGGGAAAUACCAGGUUGGCCAAAAAGUUCGCUUGGGUUUUUCCAUGCCAUCUUACAGAAAAACCCAAACCUUUUCGGCCAACCCAAUACGUUAUGUUUCUCUUGUUACCUUCUAAGACCGACUGCUAUAUGUUAGACAAACAGCUUGUACUCCUUAUUUGUUCUAAAUUGAAUCAGCGUGCUGUCUUCAGUAUCCUAAGUAAGAUCAUACAAACGGCUGAGCGGUCGUGGCAGGAACUACACUGCGGUCAUAGGACCUUCAACUCGGCCCCUGCCUUGCUGUCUGUGUUAUUAGCCUGGACCUGUUUGACCCCUGCCAGGCUGGAGCAUCCACAGAGUGUAAAAACUCUCUAAGCUAUAGAUCAAGAAGCAUUCCAAAGUACUGUUCAAUAGUAAUGGGAGUGGUCUGCCGGCUCACCUGAUUACACCUGGGAACAGGUAUUACAUGGCUAUUGUAUUCUCUGUGGGAUUUUGAGGUUAAAAGAUUUCAGAGCGCAGAUCUUCUCUCUGAAGACUGUAUGGUUUCAAACAGCAACCAGCCAACUGUCAAGAGGGAUGUGUACCUACACUCACAUAGGAUUCUAGUGGAAAUGAGCUCAGGCAUCUAUGAGAAGGAAGAGUCCUCUGUUACUGUAAACACGGCUUCAUUAGCCUUGCCUCUCUUUAGUUUACACCCCGCCUUCUAAUUAUGCCCUAAUUUGGAUGGUACAAACAUCUAACAAUUCCUCCACCAACAGCUUUUCCAAUUAGUAAGAAAAUCAGUGGCAGAUGUGAAAUCCGUGGGAAGCUGAAUGUAAAAUGUUAAUUAAUUUUAAAAAACUGUAAAGCCUCUGGAAAACCUUUUCUGAGAAAACUUCGUAUGGUGAUCUCAUUAACACAGACCAUGGAAUAGCUUUUUCUUUUAUCGUGCUACCCUUUGAGUCUGAUUCUUAGCAUUUCCAGAUUCUUCUCUGAGUCUGAAGCUGUUUGGGAAAUUUAUUAACUCUUCAAUCACUGGCUAAGUGACCCUGGAAUUGGUUACUCUGAUAUCUUUGACCAAGUAUCUGACUGUCCUGUCUGGCAAUCAACAAGGUCCUGCCCCCUGCCCCCCGACUCCUACCUUUACCACAUAGCAAUGUGAGAAAAGCCACAGAGUCAAUGAGGGUAAAUGAUGAGGGUCUGGGUCUCUCCUUAGGGGGUUUAUCUUAUAUUCCAAAAGGUCUCAAGACCCUCAGGUUACCCCUGAGAAUUUGUGCAACAGAAUUGUCCCCAAAGAUGGUAUAAAUGAGAACAAUGUCUCUGCCUCCUGGUUUAUUGGGUUUCAUGCUUUCAGGGACCAGCUGGGGACCAGCUGGUCAGUAAGUCAGUCUAUCUAAGUGGAAAAAGGAGUUACAAGACUUAAAAAUGGAGAGGGUCAUUUUUAGUCACCCCU